AUUAAACGCUGGCGGCAUGCCUUACACAUGCAAGUCGAACGGCAGCACGGGGCAAUCUGGUGGCGAGUGGCGAACGGGUGAGUAAAGCAUCGGAACGUGCCCUGGAGUGGGGGGAUAACGUAGCGAAAGUUACGCUAAUACCGCAUAUUCUGUGAGCAGGAAAGCAGGGGAUCGCAAGACCUUGCGCUCUGGGAGCGGCCGAUGUCGGAUUAGCUAGUUGGUGGGGUAAAGGCCUACCAAGGCGACGAUCCGUGGCGGGUCUGAGAGGAUGAUCCGCCACACUGGGACUGAGACACGGCCCAGACUCCUACGGGAGGCAGCAGUGGGGAAUUUUGGACAAUGGGCGCAAGCCUGAUCCAGCCAUGCCGCGUGAGUGAAGAAGGCC
This 385-nucleotide ribosomal RNA is filed under the name uncultured bacterium. RNAcentral describes it as "bacterial SSU rRNA". It matches the Rfam family "Bacterial small subunit ribosomal RNA", at positions 29 to 416 of the family's 1533-position model. The record is from RNAcentral.